AAGCAUUCAUGGUACUUCAUCGCUGCAGUUGCGACGCCGUAUGAUGAUGACACCACCACUACUUCUACCACCACCACCACCAAAUAACAUUAUCAUCACGAAAUCAACAAUGCCCUCAUAGGACCAUUGGGGCCUCAGACUUCAUGCAAGGCGGCCUUUUGAGCAGUGUUUCUGUCCAGUCCAUCCUGUUUGCCUCUCAUCGUCCCCAUACCCCAGACUUUUCCCCAGAGUGUUCAUGCUCGCCUCGUCAUCAUCAUCAUCAUCAUCAUCAUCCCCAUCCAUACGCACAUCUCCCGCCCCCGGAACUUUCAAGGCUCGGACUGGCUGGACUGAAUUGUCGAGGUUCGUUCUCGGUCUCUGCCUCAAUCGACUGACUUCGGUUCCUUUAAGGCCACCUACAUCACGCUUGGAUCUUUUUUUCCAUUGCCCAGUGUCAUGGCCGCCACCUCAUCAGCGAUACGCCCUUUUCGAAAGCCAUCUGACGUCCCACGAGAAUGUCGUGAUCCAAUAACCCAUAGCAACUCAUCUGCCAUGAUCCGUUUUGUGAUGCAGUUGGUCCACAGCCGGGUGAGCACUGCCUAGAGUGCUCUUCCUGAGGCGAAAAUUUUCUCGAGACACGCGAGCUUGAAGCAAGACUGAAGUGUCAUGACGCCGUGGAACCGACUCGCUGAAGGGUAAGCAAUGGAGGCCGAUGUAACGGGCAGAUAAUAGACAGACUCGAGGGAGGCAACUCUGGCUGGAACGUAGCAACAACUAAAG
This is a non-coding RNA of Neurospora crassa OR74A, 759 nucleotides long. The record is from RefSeq and is a predicted model, not a curated record. NCBI's taxonomy places the organism in Eukaryota, Fungi, Ascomycota, Sordariomycetes, Sordariales, Sordariaceae.